Molecule: ribosomal RNA, 1428 nt
Filed under: Triticum aestivum (bread wheat)
Lineage: Eukaryota; Viridiplantae; Streptophyta; Magnoliopsida; Poales; Poaceae
Description: partial small subunit ribosomal RNA
Source: RNAcentral
GACAAAUACAAAUCGCAAAGUCUCUUUCCUCUCUCUCACCUCUAAGAUAGUGGGCUUCAUUUCCUCUCGUCUCCUCCCCUCCCGAGUCGCCCCCCGCGUGGGCGGCCGGGAGGCCCCCAGAUCCCGUCAGCCGGUCCUCCCCCACUCCUCCUCUUCCUCCCUCGCCGCCGCCCAAGGGUGCGGCCAGGCGAAGCCUGCCGUUGCCGGCGGCGACGGGGACUCGAGCCCUCUCGCACGGGUGGGGCUGGCGUGGGCCGGCGCCCCCGGGCCGGAGCGUGGCGGCGGGCCGGACGCCACGGCGGAUGGUGGCGGCGCCUCGGCGACUUCGCUCCCCCGCGGCAAAUGGCCUCGCGAUCUGGUGCGUCGCGGUCGCCAGGGAUGGCGGCGGCGUGACCGGAUCGGUUCGCGACGGUGCGGCCGGAUCUAUGCCCAAGCGUGGGCCUUGAUCGCUGGAUUGUCGUCGACACGGUGGCGGGUGCGGUACGUCGGCAGCUGGGCAGAUCCGCCGGGAUUCUACCCUUGUCUGGUCCUUACAGCGCGGGCAACUCCGGGGAAAACCCUAGAUCUCCUUGGGAUCGAGCGAUGGCAGCGCUUUUGCAUCGUAGUCCCUCUUUGGGGCAUCGUUUUGGAGUUUACUCCGGUUGAAGGGACCAGCGACGUCGGCGGCGCACGUCUGGUGGAGCAACUGCCGAUGAAAAUCGCGCCGACUACGGUCUUGGCGGACGAUGGCGGCGUCUUAGAUGUCGUUCCCUUGUCGAGGCAUCGCCGUUGCAGUCUGCGUCAUCAGGCUCGGGAUGCUCCGGGGGAAACCCUAGAUCUGGGUCUUCCGGAUCGGAUGAUGAUGGUAUUUUAUCGCUUUCCCUCCUGGGGGCAUCGUUUUGGAGCAAGUGAUGGUUGGGGGGAUGGUGGAGCGGUGCUUCAUCUCACACAUUGAUGGCGGCGGUUAUCGGCGGCAUGGCGCUGUGGAGGCUCGGCGUCCGAUGCGCGGGAUGGACUCGUGCAAGAGGAGGUAGCUGUCUGGCGUCAUGGUGACGUCGAUGGCUGAGUGGCCAGACAAGGUAGAUGCCUCAAUAUGAUCUGAAGACGGACCUAUGAAAGAUGGCGGCGACGACACACGAGUGAGUCUGACCGGAUUGUGCCCCAAACCCGGUGUGUGGCUCGGCUGGGGCUUCCGGUUUUUGAUGUUAGGCUUAAGUGAGUGGUCUGGGUAGUGGCCUAGCUAGCACGCAUUCAUCGUAUGGAUAGGAGUAGCGGCAUAUGUUGCCAAAAUGGUGGAUUCAGGCAUUUUGUUGUAAUAUUUUGUAAGGUCCUCGAGAAUAAUCAAUAAAGUGGUCGUAUGCAUCUCCCAGAUACAGAGGCCGGGGAUCAUCCUCCUUUUCUAAAAAAAAAAAACCUCUAAGAUGGUGUAUAGGAGUAGUGCCGCUUUGC